UACCAGCACCCCCGAGUGGUCGGGACGUUUAUUGGGCCUAAAGCAUCCGUAGCCGGUUCUACAAGUCUUCCGUUAAAUCCAACUGCUUAACAGGUGGGCUGCGGAAGAUACUAUAGAGCUAGGAGGCGGGAGAGGCAAGCGGUACUCGAUGGGUAGGGGUAAAAUCCGUUGAUCCAUUGAAGACCACCAGUGGCGAAGGCGGCUUGCCAGAACGCGCUCGACGGUGAGGGAUGAAGCUGGGGGAGCAAACCGG
RNAcentral lists this ribosomal RNA (253 nucleotides) under uncultured bacterium. RNAcentral describes it as "partial 16S ribosomal RNA". It matches the Rfam family "Archaeal small subunit ribosomal RNA", at positions 474 to 727 of the family's 1478-position model. The record is from RNAcentral.